GUUUCCGUAGUGUAGUGGUUAUCACGUUUGCCUAACCCGUGAAAGGUCCCUGGUUUGAAACCGGGUGGAAACA
RNAcentral lists this transfer RNA (73 nucleotides) under Petromyzon marinus (sea lamprey). RNAcentral's name for it is "tRNA-Val (AAC) (tRNA-Val-AAC-36-1)". It matches the Rfam family "tRNA". Rfam says of the family: Transfer RNA (tRNA) molecules are approximately 80 nucleotides in length. Their secondary structure includes four short double-helical elements and three loops (D, anti-codon, and T loops). The record is from RNAcentral. Lineage: Eukaryota; Metazoa; Chordata; Hyperoartia; Petromyzontiformes; Petromyzontidae.